AUGGCUAGCAGUAGCGUGGCAUCAGCAGCUUGUGGAUUUGUCUUGUCCCUCAAUGUUGCUGCCAACAACACAACCUCCUCACUUUCUUCCAGGACUAACAUGUUGAUGUUUCCUAUAAAAUCCAACAAUAUUGCUAGUUCUAGACUUGUUGUCAGGGCAACCGAAGAUACCGCCGAUGUUGCUACCCCUUUCGCCCUCUGUCAAAACAACUAA
This is a non-coding RNA of Vicia faba (fava bean), 213 nucleotides long. NCBI's taxonomy places the organism in Eukaryota, Viridiplantae, Streptophyta, Magnoliopsida, Fabales, Fabaceae. The record is from the annotation of a GenBank genome assembly.